AAAGGAAUAGACGGGACCCCGCACAAGCAGCGGAGCGCGACGUUUAAUUCGUCGAUACACGAAAAACCUUACCAAGGCUUGACAUUUAGUGCAUAGCAUGGAAACAUGUGAAAUGUGGAAACACACACUAGGACAGAUGAUGCAUGGUUGUCGUCAGCUCGUGUCGUGAGAUGUUGGGUUAAGUCCCGCAACGAGCGCAACCCUCGUCAAAAGUUGCCAUCAUUUAGUUGGGCACCCUUUUGAGACUGCCGUGGAUAACACGGAGGAAGGUGGGGAUGAGGUCAAAUCAUCACGUCUCUUACGUCUUGGGCUACAGUCACGCUACAAUGGUCGCCACAAAGAGAAGCAAAAUAGCAAUAUCAAGCAAAUCUCAAAAAUGCGGCCUCAGUUCAGAUUGUGGGCUGAAACUCGCCCACAUGAAGAUGGAGUUGCUAGUAAUCCCUGAUCAGCAUGCAGGGGUGAAUGCGUUCCCGGGGUUUGUACACACCGCCCGU
RNAcentral lists this ribosomal RNA (494 nucleotides) under uncultured bacterium. RNAcentral's name for it is "bacterial SSU rRNA". It matches the Rfam family "Bacterial small subunit ribosomal RNA", at positions 903 to 1397 of the family's 1533-position model. The record is from RNAcentral.